UCUACGGGAGGCAGCAGUGAGGAUUAUUGGACAAUGGGUGAGAGCCUGAUCCAGCCAUCCCGCGUGAAGGAUGACGGCCCUAUGGGUUGUAAACUUCUUUUGUAUAGGGAUAAACCUACCCUCGUGAGGGUAGCUGAAGGUACUAUACGAAUAAGCACCGGCUAACUCCGUGCCAGCAGCCGCGGUAAUA
This 190-nucleotide ribosomal RNA is filed under the name uncultured Chryseobacterium sp. RNAcentral's name for it is "partial 16S ribosomal RNA". It matches the Rfam family "Bacterial small subunit ribosomal RNA", at positions 338 to 525 of the family's 1533-position model. The record is from RNAcentral. Lineage: Bacteria; Pseudomonadati; Bacteroidota; Flavobacteriia; Flavobacteriales; Weeksellaceae.